RNAcentral lists this ribosomal RNA (482 nucleotides) under uncultured bacterium. Its description in RNAcentral is "partial 16S ribosomal RNA". It matches the Rfam family "Bacterial small subunit ribosomal RNA", at positions 28 to 523 of the family's 1533-position model. The record is from RNAcentral.
GAUGAACGUUGGCGGCAUGGAUUAGGCAUGCAAGUCGCGCGCGAAAUGUAGCAAUACAUGGAGAGCGGCGAAAGGGAGAGGAAUACGUGGGAACCUACCUUCGGGCCUGGAAUAGCGGCGGGAAACUGCCGGUAAUGCCAGAUAACGUCUCCGGACCAAAGGUGUGAUUCCGCCGGAAGAUGGGCCCACGUCCUAUCAGCUAGUUGGUGUGGUAAUGGCGCACCAAGGCUAAAACGGGUAUGGGGUGUGAGAGCAUGCCCCCACUCACUGGGACUGGGACACUGCCCAGACACCUACGGGUGGCUGCAGUCGAGAAUCUUCGGCAAUGAGCGCAAGCUUGACCGAGCGAUGCCGCGUGCGGGAUGAAGGCCUUCGGGUUGUAAACCGCUGUCGUAGGGGAAUAAUGGCCAAGGGGUACUCUUCUUGGUUUGAAUGAUCCUAGGAGGAAGGACGGGCUAAGUUCGUGCCAGCCGCCGCAGUAA